Molecule: ribosomal RNA, 492 nt
Filed under: uncultured bacterium
Lineage: Bacteria
Description: partial 16S ribosomal RNA
Rfam family: Bacterial small subunit ribosomal RNA
Source: RNAcentral
AGUGAACGCUGGCGGUAGGCCUAACACAUGCCAGUCGAACGGCAGCACAGUAAGAGCUUGCUCUUACGGGUGGCGAGUGGCGGACGGGUGAGGAAUACAUCGGAAUCUACUUUUUCGUGGGGGAUAACGUAGGGAAACUUACGCUAAUACCGCAUAUGAUCUACGGGUGAAAGCAGGGGAUCUUCGGACCUUGCGCGAUUGAAUGAGCCGCUGUCGGAUUAGCUAGUUGGCGGGGUAAAGGCCCACCAAGGCGACGAUCCGUAGCUGGUCUGAGAGGAUGAUCGGCCACACUGGAGCUGGGACACGGUCCAGGCUCCUACGGGAGGCAGCAGUGGGGAAUAUUGGACAAUGGGCGCAAGCCUGAUCCAGCCAUACCGCGUGGGUGAAGAAGGCCUUCGGGUUGUAAAGCCCUUUUGUUGGGAAAGAAAAGCAGCAGGUUAAUACCCCGCUGUUCUGACGGUACCCAAAGAAUAAGCACCGGCUAACUUCGUG